GAACUUUCAACAACGGAUCUCUUGGCUCUCGCAUCGAUGAAGAGCGCAGCGAAAUGCGAUAAGUAGUGUGAAUUGCAGAACUUUGUGAACCAUCGAAUCUUUGAACGCAAAUUGCGCCUUCUUUCGGAAGGCAUGUCUGUUUGAGGGCAC
RNAcentral lists this ribosomal RNA (150 nucleotides) under uncultured Paraglomus. RNAcentral's name for it is "5.8S ribosomal RNA". It matches the Rfam family "5.8S ribosomal RNA". Rfam says of the family: 5.8S ribosomal RNA (5.8S rRNA) is a component of the large subunit of the eukaryotic ribosome. It is transcribed by RNA polymerase I as part of the 45S precursor that also contains 18S and 28S rRNA. Lineage: Eukaryota; Fungi; Glomeromycota; Glomeromycetes; Paraglomerales; Paraglomeraceae. The record is from RNAcentral.